This is a long non-coding RNA of Nomascus leucogenys (northern white-cheeked gibbon), 117 nucleotides long. RefSeq lists it as uncharacterized. The record is from RefSeq and is a predicted model, not a curated record. Lineage: Eukaryota; Metazoa; Chordata; Mammalia; Primates; Hylobatidae. The transcript has 5 exons.
UUCCUGAGUAUCUACCCAGAGGAAAAGAAGUCAUUAUACAAGAAAACUACUUGCACACGCAUGUUUAUAGCAGCACAAUUCACAAUUGCAAAAAUAUGGAACCAGCCCAAAUGCCCA